RNAcentral lists this ribosomal RNA (470 nucleotides) under uncultured organism. RNAcentral describes it as "partial 16S ribosomal RNA". It matches the Rfam family "Bacterial small subunit ribosomal RNA", at positions 334 to 797 of the family's 1533-position model. The record is from RNAcentral.
CACUCUACGGGAGGCAGCAGUGGGGAAUUUUGGACAAUGGGCGCAAGCCUGAUCCAGCCAUGCCGCGUGCGGGAAGAAGGCCUUCGGGUUGUAAACCGCUUUUGUCAGGGAAGAAAAGGUUCUGGCUAAUACCUGGGACUCAUGACGGUACCUGAAGAAUAAGCACCGGCUAACUACGUGCCAGCAGCCGCGGUAAUACGUAGGGUGCAAGCGUUAAUCGGAAUUACUGGGCGUAAAGCGUGCGCAGGCGGUUAUGCAAGACAGAGGUGAAAUCCCCGGGCUCAACCUGGGAACUGCCUUUGUGACUGCAUGGCUAGAGUACGGUAGAGGGGGAUGGAAUUCCGCGUGUAGCAGUGAAAUGCGUAGAUAUGCGGAGGAACACCGAUGGCGAAGGCAAUCCCCUGGACCUGUACUGACGCUCAUGCACGAAAGCGUGGGGAGCAAACAGGAUUAGAAACCCUUGUAUCCCA